GGACCCGCACAAGUAGUGGAGCAUGUGGUUUAAUUCGAAGAUACGCGAGGAACCUUACCAGGGCUUAAAUGUAAGUUGCAUUAGUUAGAGAUAGCUAUUUCUUCGGACUACUUACAAGGUGCUGCAUGGUUGUCGUCAGCUCGUGCCGUGAGGUGUCAGGUUAAGUCCUAUAACGAGCGCAACCCCUGUUGUUAGUUGCCAUCGAGUCAUGUCGGGAACUCUAACAAGACUGCCGGUGCAAACCGUGAGGAAGGUGGGGAUGACGUCAAAUCAUCACGGCCCUUACGUCCUGGCUACACACGUGCUACAAUGGCCGGUACAGAGAGCAGCCACUACGCGAGUAGGCGCGAA
RNAcentral lists this ribosomal RNA (351 nucleotides) under uncultured bacterium. Its description in RNAcentral is "bacterial SSU rRNA". It matches the Rfam family "Bacterial small subunit ribosomal RNA", at positions 917 to 1271 of the family's 1533-position model. The record is from RNAcentral.